This is a long non-coding RNA of Gopherus flavomarginatus (Mexican gopher tortoise), 375 nucleotides long. RefSeq lists it as uncharacterized. The record is from RefSeq and is a predicted model, not a curated record. Lineage: Eukaryota; Metazoa; Chordata; Testudines; Testudinidae. The transcript is spliced from 2 exons.
ACCUAAUGUACUAAUAGCUGCAAAAUGUAGUAUUAGCAGUUAGCUUUUAAUUGUAACAGCCAGUUCUCUGCUAUAACACAUUGAAGCUAGGCUAGAGCAUGCUCAUGGUCGUUUUAAGAUACUGUAUACAUGUCUCAGCAGCGAAGAGGGGGAAGAAAGUGGGGGGAGACAAAAGACUGACUGAGAAAGGAUACGGCAGCUGGAUGGGAAAGUACAGGGGAGUAAAAGAUCAGCUAGUCAGCAUCAGAAAAGAAAUACAAGAAGAAGGGUAUAAAUAUUCCUGCCCUGCCUGUGUGCUGUGUGCAGGAUCUGAGAUUAUUAUUUCUCCCUGGCACCUUAUUUGAGCUCAAAUAAAUUUGGUUGUUUGCUUCUCCA